Molecule: transfer RNA, 74 nt
Filed under: Chitinophaga japonensis
Lineage: Bacteria; Pseudomonadati; Bacteroidota; Chitinophagia; Chitinophagales; Chitinophagaceae
Also listed under: 5 other names
Rfam family: tRNA
About the family: Transfer RNA (tRNA) molecules are approximately 80 nucleotides in length. Their secondary structure includes four short double-helical elements and three loops (D, anti-codon, and T loops).
Source: Rfam by way of RNAcentral
GGCGAGAUAGCUCAGGCGGUUAGAGCGCAGGAUUCAUAACCCUGAGGUCGAGGGUUCAACUCCCUCUCUCGCUA